AGAGGUUCCUUUUGGCUCAGGAUGAACGCUAGCUACAGGCUUAACACAUGCAAGUCGAGGGGCAGCAUGUCGGUUGCUUGCAACCGAUGAUGGCGACCGGCGCACGGGUGAGUAACGCGUAUCCAACCUACCCUUGUCCAUCGGAUAACCCGUCGAAAGGCGGCCUAACACGAUAUGCGGUUCACCGCAGGCAUCUAAGGUGAACGAAAUGUGAAGGAGAAGGAUGGGGAUGCGUCUGAUUAGCUUGUUGGCGGGGUAACGGCCCACCAAGGCGACGAUCAGUAGGGGUUCUGAGAGGAAGGUCCCCCACAUUGGAACUGAGACACGGUCCAAACUCCUACGGGAGGCAGCAGUGAGGAAUAUUGGUCAAUGGACGGGAGUCUGAACCAGCCAAGUAGCGUGCAGGACGACGGCCCUAUGGGUUGUAAACUGCUUUUAUAGGGGGAUAAAGUGUGCCACGUGUGGCAUAUUGCAGGUACCCUAUGAAUAAGGACCGGCUAAUUCCGUGCCAGCAGCCGCGGUAAUACGGAAGGUCCGGGCGUUAUCCGGAUUUAUUGGGUUUAAAGGGAGCGUAGGCCGUCUUAUAAGCGUGUUGUGAAAUGUCGGGGCUCAACCUGGGCAUUGCAGCGCGAACUGUGAGACUUGAGUGCGCAGGAAGUAGGCGGAAUUCGUCGUGUAGCGGUGAAAUGCUUAGAUAUGACGAAGAACUCCGAUUGCGAAGGCAGCCUGCUGUAGCGCAACUGACGCUGAAGCUCGAAAGCGUGGGUAUCGAACAGGAUUAGAUACCCUGGUAGUCCACGCGGUAAACGAUGGAGGCUCGCUGUUUGCGUUUGACGUAAGCGGCCAAGCGAAAGCGUUAAGCAUCCCCCCUGGGGAGUACGCCGGCAACGGUGAAA
RNAcentral lists this ribosomal RNA (896 nucleotides) under uncultured bacterium. RNAcentral describes it as "bacterial SSU rRNA". It matches the Rfam family "Bacterial small subunit ribosomal RNA", at positions 8 to 899 of the family's 1533-position model. The record is from RNAcentral.